RNAcentral lists this transfer RNA (77 nucleotides) under Candidatus Omnitrophota bacterium. Its description in RNAcentral is "tRNA-Met". It matches the Rfam family "tRNA". From Rfam's summary of the family: Transfer RNA (tRNA) molecules are approximately 80 nucleotides in length. The record is from RNAcentral. Lineage: Bacteria; Pseudomonadati; Candidatus Omnitrophota.
CGCGGGGUGGAGCAGUCCGGAAGCUCGCAAGGCUCAUAACCUUGAGGUCCCCAGUUCAAAUCUGGGCCCCGCAACCA